This 485-nucleotide ribosomal RNA is filed under the name uncultured bacterium. RNAcentral's name for it is "partial 16S ribosomal RNA". It matches the Rfam family "Bacterial small subunit ribosomal RNA", at positions 30 to 507 of the family's 1533-position model. The record is from RNAcentral.
AUUGAACGCUGGCGGCAGGCUUAACACAUGCAAGUCGAGCGGGGGAAGGUAGCUUGCUACCGGACCUAGCGGCGGACGGGUGAGUAAUGCUUAGGAAUCUGCCUAUUAGUGGGGGACAACAUCUCGAAAGGGAUGCUAAUACCGCAUACGUCCUACGGGAGAAAGCAGGGGAUCUUCGGACCUUGCGCUAAUAGAUGAGCCUAAGUCGGAUUAGCUAGUUGGUGGGGUAAAGGCCUACCAAGGCGACGAUCUGUAGCGGGUCUGAGAGGAUGAUCCGCCACACUGGGACGGAGACACGGCCCAGACUCCUACGGGAGGGAGCAGUGGGGAAUAUUGGACAAUGGGGGGAACCCUGAUCCAGCCAUGCCGCGUGUGUGAAGAAGGCCUUAUGGUUGUAAAGCACUUUAAGCGAGGAGGAGGCUACUUUAGUUAAUACCUAGGGAUAGUGGACGUUACUCGCAGAAUAAGCACCGGCUAACUCUGUG